GGCAAUGAGGACCCCUCCCCCUCUUCCAAGAAUGCUAGUCUGAGAAGAGCGAUCCGUUCUAUAAAUUUGGAAAUUUGCAGCAAACUCGGCGCUUUUGAUGCCAGCAUGCAACCAGGUUUCAGAAAAAACAAUCACAUCGUACUCACAUUCAGCCAGGGCGACGAACAAGUCUCUAGUUUUUGUGCGCAAGCCUCGAACAUUUUGAUAAUAAAUCGUCAAUUCUUGCUUGCGAUUUGUGCUCACGGACGAUUUGCGCUGCUUACUAGGGAGCGUCGAGAGAGCGACGUCGGUUUGGGACGAUAAGCAAACAAUAUCGGAAUGUUUUGCUUCACUCGCGUCGAUGUUGAUAAGAGCGUCGUCGAGGGCCGACGUCCUAUUUACAAGUUGUGUUCUGGAUAAGUUCGGUGCGAAGGAUUGUGCAAAUCCGGAUUGCUCCACAGGAAAAGGGAGAUAUGACGAUACCAGCUGGCCAAAAACCUUUUGCGGUAAGUGCAGAUGAGAAGUUUUUAUGUAUGGAAAUUUUGAACGAGAUGAAACUUGUUCUUUUCCCCAACUUUGUCAUCGUGCUGCAGGUUACGGCGGACUCGGGAAUAUUUUUGGAAACGAUGAACUUGACCACGUCGUUGCAUGAUGUAGUCGGUGUAAAGUUUCGAGCACAAAAUGUUGCCAGGAUGAAAAGGGCACUGACGAUGGGUAACUCGGUGGAAAGAACUGAGUCGGAGGCUGCAUAAACCAACCAUUUGGCGAGAAACUGGUCGGUGGAACGCUGUAUGGUGGCCACAUCGGCGGAUAGUAAAUGGCGCGUGAUUUUGAGCAGCAUCAAGUUGAUUGGAAGGAGCAUCUCUAGUCAGAUCGACAAAGUUAGCCGAAACAGGAGCAAUUAUUACAUGGUUCUGUUGCGGGUCAGGCUCGCGGAAUUAGGCUUCUCGGGCAGAGGCAGUGUACUUGAAGCAGGCCUGAACGAAGAAGAAGCGGCGGCAGUGCGCUUAUUCUGCGAGACGUUCACUGAGUUGGCUUUACGUUUGCGAGAGGUAGGACAACCUUCAUCAUCUAGAUUGAUUAUUGAU
This is a long non-coding RNA of Uranotaenia lowii, 1067 nucleotides long. RefSeq lists it as uncharacterized. NCBI's taxonomy places the organism in Eukaryota, Metazoa, Arthropoda, Insecta, Diptera, Culicidae. The transcript is spliced from 6 exons. The record is from RefSeq and is a predicted model, not a curated record.